This 86-nucleotide transfer RNA is filed under the name Parvibaculaceae bacterium. RNAcentral describes it as "tRNA-Leu". It matches the Rfam family "tRNA". From Rfam's summary of the family: Transfer RNA (tRNA) molecules are approximately 80 nucleotides in length. The record is from RNAcentral. Lineage: Bacteria; Pseudomonadati; Pseudomonadota; Alphaproteobacteria; Hyphomicrobiales; Parvibaculaceae.
GCGGACGUGACGAAAUGGUAGACGUAGCAGACUUAAAAUCUGCGUCCCGAAAGGGAGUGCGGGUUCGAGUCCCGCCGUCCGCACCA